This 505-nucleotide ribosomal RNA is filed under the name uncultured bacterium. RNAcentral describes it as "partial 16S ribosomal RNA". It matches the Rfam family "Bacterial small subunit ribosomal RNA", at positions 28 to 507 of the family's 1533-position model. The record is from RNAcentral.
GACGAACGCUGGCGGCGUGCCUAAUACAUGCAAGUAGAACGCACAGUUUAUACCGUAGCUUGCUACACCAUAGACUGUGAGUUGCGAACGGGUGAGUAACGCGUAGGUAACCUGCCUGGUAGCGGGGGAUAACUAUUGGAAACGAUAGCUAAUACCGCAUAAUAUUGAUUAUUGCAUGAUAAUUGAUUGAAAGAUGCUAUUGCAUCACUACCAGAUGGACCUGCGUUGUAUUAGCUAGUAGGUGAGGUAACGGCUCACCUAGGCGACGGUACAUAGCCGACCUGAGAGGGUGAUCGGCCACACUGGGACUGAGACACGGCCCAGACUCCUACGGGAGGCAGCAGUAGGGAAUCUUCGGCAAUGGACGAAAGUCUGACCGAGCAACGCCGCGUGAGUGAAGAAGGUUUUCGGAUCGUAAAGCUCUGUUGUAAGAGAAGAACGGGUGUGAGAGUGGAAAGUUCACACUGUGACGGUAUCUUACCAGAAAGGGACGGCUAACUACGUG